CCGAGUGUUGCCGCUGUUGCCUUCUCAAACCCGUGAUCUGUAGUGAUUCUCUCCUAUCCUUUCCCUCCCCACUUCCGCCGAAGACUGUAAAGCGAGCAACGAUUUUUAAAGCUAUUAUUUAUUCACCUUUCUUUUAGGCAGAGCUAGUGCACGUUCGGGGCUCUGCAUUUUGCCGAAUCGCGCUGAGACUUGCUGCUUCGAUGAUUGCUAAAAUGUAGCGUCACCUACCUGGUUGCCUAUGGCGUUUGCUUGUCCCUGUCCCUGCGCCCUGGGUGAUGCCUGGCUCCUGUACCUGUCCUUUCCAUUCGGAUUCCAGAGGGAAAAAAAAGGGAGACUGUCAGAAGAAGGAGGACCUGGGCGAGCAUGGGGCAGCCAGUGGGAAGAGAACCGGCGUGUGUGUGUGUAUGCGCGCAGCGAGGGGGAGGCAGGAAUCCAGCUGCUCUCUCUCCCCCUGUGAACACAUGUGGGAAAACAAGUUAUUGCCCGUUCUGUGUGUGCGUGUGUGCAUUCCUCCUUUUAAAUGGUCAUUUUGAAUAAAGUCGCAUGCAGAAGAAUGUAGUGAAAUGUCUCUCUUUCAUCGCGAUGACAUAUUUGAAAGAAAAGCGGCCGGAAAUGUUGAGGUGGUUCAAAGCAACGGUCACAGCGUGUCUUUGUCAUUUAGGGCGCAUCAGCGAGAAAGCCCGGCUCGGCGCAGACUCAGUGUUCACAGCCGCAGUCCCGGACGGAGGAGGGGGGCUCGGGAGCUCAGCAUCUUCGCAGCGGGCUAAGUAGGAUUAAUACCAAAUCCCUAUUAUAUUUGCCAAGCAACUUGAAUUUAUCAAAAUUCCCCCUCGCUCUUCUGGAGCUCCGAGAGGAGGAAAUUUUGCCCACAGUGUAAGAUCCAGACAUACCAUGUCUUCACAUGCAAUCUCUUCCUAAAUGUGCAAUGCCUUUCCUGCUCGGGAGCGCUGCGUCCUUCACAGUGGAUUGGUUCCUCUUUCGGAGCAGAGGUUUUUGCCCAGAAACUACUUUCCUCUGAUGUGACCUCUCUUUUGAGACAUAACCUUGUGGAGCAGGAAGCUGCAAUGUUUGAACACAGAAGAAUGAAAGUUAGAUCUGAACAGAGAGAAAAGGAUGAAGAAUGGUUAUUGACUGUCCUAAGUAACAAUGAUGUCAAAAGAUAACUGUGAAAUUUACCUUAAAAUCAUCCCAUUAAUGCUCUCCUUAAACAAUGAUAACAUUGUAUAUGUUUAGUUGUUCAAAUAACAAACACUCAGCCAAUCAAAAUGAUUGGUCCUGAUGACCAACCAUGUAAGUGUCACUAAUAUCACAUAUGAUUAAACUUUUGUUCUGUUUUCAGUUUGUUCGGUUGGGUUUUGGCUGGGAAAUUGUGUAGAAAAAAAAAAUCAAACCAAAACAGUUAUUAUCAAGAACAUUACUCAUAUUGCCAGAUCAAACACUCAGAAGUUAGAAAAUGUUAGAAUAUUGACAGCAGAUCCUUAAUUUGAAUGCCAGUGCAUCAUCUAUUGCAAUGUUUGAUUGCAAUCUUAUUACAUAUUCAUGUACAUUUUGUCCACUGGAUUUCAAUUUGUGAAUAAAUAAAUAAAUAAAAACACACACAAAAAAUAAAUAUUAAAAUAUUAAAGAGAUACAUUUUAAUAAAUUAAAACAUAUUUUAUUGAAUUACACAGAACAGGUUGGACUGUAAGAUAAGGUUGUACUUACAUAAGGUUGGACUUAGUAAGAAACAUUAUUAUUAUUAUUAUUUUUCAUGUUCAGGCCUUAUUUACUGCACACUGUUCAAAUUACAUCCUGGUCAUGGAAUUAUUAAAUGGAUUUUUUUAUUAUGUACUUAAUUGUGUAAAAAAUUCAAAAAUAUUAUUUAGUUUGGGAAGAACUGUAUUAUAUUUGGGGUUAUUGUGAUUCCAGUAUUACAAAUAGGAAGGUAAUAAUGAGAUGCAGGUCAAAAAUGUCCACAGAUUUAGGAUAUCUAAUUUGAGCCUUUUAGGUUCAUAAUUUAGGGGCUGCUUAGAAUUACAUAGCUUUUACAUGUACAACCCAAAACUUUCACUGACAUAAGGUGUGCCUAAGAAUGUUCACUGUUCUGCAAAUCAGUCUCAGGAUUUUAGGUAAAAACUCAGAAACAGGUGAAAUCACAAUCAAAAUGUUUUGUUCUGUGACUUAAUAUCCUGGUGGAAUUCUAUGACAGCAGUGAGUGUCAGUCUCCAGCUUCAAAUACAAUGUUCUAAUGCUAUGAAAUACUGUUUUCCUCUUUGAUUUCACUUCAGGAAAGGUCAUUUCUGUAGAAUGAAUAAAGUAGGGGUCUUGAAGGGAAAACAUAUGACUCUUAUCAAAGACUAUGUCAGACUGCACAAGUACAAGUGAGGGAAACUAUGAUUCUACCUAUAACUUCAUUUUGAUAAUUUUCUAACUAUGAAAUGAGCUUUUGAUUUUUUCUUUUUUAAUAUUAUUGUGUGGCAUAUAGUAAUUUCUAUUGCAGACAGAGGACAGCAAAGAUCCUUACCACCAGAAAAGAAAAUUCAUUUAGGUAUACAACACUUUGGAAAAGAAGGAACUGGGGUGGGGGGAAGAAUUCUUGAAUAAGCAUAAGUGGAAGAUGCACAGAUGGUAGAAGUUCCUAAAUGUUCUACUCUUCUCUCUGGGCAUCUUUUGCUACAUAAAUGUGUUAACAUUUGUUAGAAGGCAUGAUUAAAGGCUUUAUAGGCUUUACAGAUGGAAUGUAAUUUAGUGGAAAGUUUUGAAAGAUAGAAGAUUCACACAUGAAAUGGUUUCCAUUAAAGGAAUUAGAAAAGGGGAGGUCUAGAGAGGCAACAUAGACGUAGUAACAACUAAAUAUUGUUCUGUAAACAAAAGUUUGGUUGACCAGUUAAAUUGCUUUCAGUAACUUUACUGGGGUCAGGUUAGGUUGGAAUACCUAUCUGUGAAAUAGAAGACCUGAGUCAUUUCCUUUCAUCCAGAGAUACCUCUGUUUUUUUCAAAGGAAUAAUUAAUGUAAAACAUACCUGCAGAUCAAAAAACUUAUUUAAAGCUAUUUGACAUACAGCCACCCUAUACUCAGUUAAGCAUCCUAUUAGGCCACAGAAUUAGGAAUGCAUUCUGUUCCUCUUUUUCCUCCAGCAAAACUCAGUUACACUUCCAUUCUUCCUCCAACUUGCAGGAAGCCUCAUGUCCGCUAUGCUAUAUGUCAUGUAAGAGGAAAGCACCUUGAACACAAGGGUCAACAAACUUGAGAAUAUUUUCUUGUUCAGGGAAGUGAAAGAAAGUCAUACCAGACAAACUUAUUUACUUAGGCCAAUUUUCAGAGAUUCUUACCCAACAUAUAUACAUGUAUGUGUAUGUAUAUAUUUGUAAAUAUAUGUAUAUUUGGUUACCUGAUAAGAAUAGAAAAUAUUGGGCAAGAAACUGCUGACAGAUGUAAAAUCCUAUAAACUGUUAUAAUUGUCAAUAGGACAUCAAAAUUAUUUAUCAGUGUUAUACAGAUAUGGUCAAUUGCCUCAGAUUAUAUUCAUCAGUAGAAAGACUUGGAACUAAUAAUUCAGGCUACUUUUGUUUCUGUUAUAUGUACAUUAAAAGCAGAAAUAGUAACUUUUUAGAAAAUAGUUUUGUUUUUAAUUAGCAAAAAGGAUUAGACUUCAAUUAUUUGCCUGUAGAAGAAUGGAAACAUCACUACUGGUCCUCAGCCAUGUUGGAAAUAUAAAGUCUGAGAAUGAGAAGAGUCCAAGUAAUAGUGCUUUUCUACCACACAAGCGCUUUCAUGAAAACCACCAUUCAAGGCCUCUGUCAUAUCUGACUUGUUGAUUCAAAAAAACUGACCUGAGCCACACUGAGAACCAAUGAAGUACUAUUUUAAAAAUAAUACUUUGCUCUUUAUAAAGGGAAAAUAAAGCUUUUAAAUAUUGAGCUCUUGCCUUAUCUUUGCAACAAGAUUUCUGUUAGUGAUUCUUCACUAAAUCUGAUUGCAAACUGGAGAGAUACAAAAAUAUUCCAAUCUUGUGGCUGUUUUGUGUAUUUGAGAUAUAUUUAUGAAGAAAAAAAGCAUACUUUUCCAAAAAAGGUCACAUUUCCAUUUUAAAGAAGAAUAUCAAAGAGCCAAACUCUCAUAUUUGAUGCACAAGUGUACUGCGGCCAGAAUCUUACUUCCUUGUAGCCUGCUCUUGAUAAGGCAUUUUGUUUGACUGUCUGGUUUUCUUCAGUGUUUUGUUUCCCAGAGCUGUCUGUUCUUUAUAAAAAUACCUAUAUGCCAAUUUAAGGCAUUCAGAAGUCAAUCAGUUGUAAAUGCAAGUGUGUAUUAUGAGACUUUCCUUCCCUUUAAUGCAGUUAAUGAAUAUGUUCCCAUGACUUUUAAAUGGACUGGUGCCUCAGCACAUUUUCAGAAUUACUUUAUUUGAAAACACUUCCAUUUAUAAUGGGGCUUAAAUCUCAUUUCCCUCCAUAUCUACCCUCACUUAGUCUUUUUUAAGGCCCCUCUGUAAAAAAAAAAAAACAAACUAUGUAUAUAUAUAUAUAUGUAUCUCAGCUGCUGCUCCUCCUCUCAAUGCUUUCAUAGUAUUAGUAAGAGCAGAAACCAACUGAUGCCUUACUCUGUUGCUCAUACAGAGACAAUAUGCAGACACUGCACUAUCCUCCAUUCCUGGCUGAAGAGCUCUGUGCUACUGUUUCGUAUUAUCUACACACACCGCUUCUGCUUCAUGUGUCUGCUAAAUCUUAAUGACUCCCUGUAGUCUCUGCGACUUCACAUUUUCCCUGUAGGAACCUAGAGUAAGACAGGUAAAGAUUCUCUUAAUUUCAAACUACUGCAGAUCCUAAUUGGAAAAGAAAAAAAAAAAAAAAGAAGUUGUCUGAAAUAGUAGUACAGACACAGUCCUGGAUGACUGGAAGGAGAGAAAAUAGAAGGGAGCAUAAAGAAGGUGAGAAAAGAGGUGCAAGUUAUACUGCAUGACUGUGUCCUUUACUUGCUGAGUCAGCAGGAAGCAAGAGCUCUGCAGGGGCACACUUAGCCUUCACAUUUCUCCACAGAAACCCCAUCUGGCCAACUAAAUUGCCAGCAAUUGAGAAGACAUGCAGGAAGCUGUAUCCAGCUAUUCUCAUUCAGUGUGAAGGUUACUGUGUUGUGGAGGUAGGGGGAGAGCAAAUAAGGAAAGCAUUAUAAGACUGUGCCUCUCACAUACAAUAAAGGGAAGCAUUGAAUAUGUGAUCACUUUUAUUCUGUUCACUGUGUAAAGAAUUAGAAAUUCCAGGAAAAUUUGGCUACUGUUUUAGAAAGACCUAACAUCAGGCAAUCUUGGAAAGAAAAAUGUUCAUCAAGAAAAAAGCUGAAGGAAAUUGAAUAAUCAAAUUUUACUAUAGAAUUUUGUAUUUAAAUUUCAAAAUCGGAAGCUUUUACUUGUAGUCUUUCUGUCAAGUCAUCUGAAGAAAAUUUCUUGGAGCUCUAUUUGGCUUUUGCAGGACCUCUAACUUUAACGUCCAUUCAAAAGGCCUAGAAAAAUAAAAUGCCUUCCCUUGGCUUCUUAGCAUGUAAUGUUCUCUCAAAUACAAGUACUGAACUGAGAUAUAAAACAAAGAAAACUACACCAACAUUGCAUAAAAGCACUCAAUAAUCUAUGUGUGGAACGCUCCAGAAGAAUACAUCAGCUAAUGGUUUAUAAGAACAAUUAGUAAAACACCAAUUGCAAAUUACUCCUUCAGUUCAAUGUUUCCCAGUGAGUGAGGCUGCUUUAAGUGGAGCAAUGUGCCAGCAUUAAAGAUGAAGCACAGAACAGAAUAUAAUCCAAUGAAUGUAUUAACUUAGGUUUUGUGCCCAGUUUGACACUGCCAGCAGUAGCAAACUGAAGGAAAGGAGAUGCUCAAAUACACCAGUGUGAAAAAAUGGGAAAUGGGGUAGAAAAGCUUGGUGUCAGUGUUUUGUCUCUCUGAUCACAGGAAAAUGUAUUAGAUAAGCAGAUAUGCCUUUGUCGUACCACUUCUUUUGUUGUCCAGUGCUAGUUAGAGUUUGGUGUCAGUAGGUUGUGUUAUCCUGAAGAUCUGAGAUACUCUUAGGUGACUAGGUGUCUUGAUGUUGCCUUAUUGAUCAAGUUUUCACAUCAUCCAUGCAGUUUACAAAGGGAUCAGUUUUCUGGUUGCAAUAGGGAACAAGUGAUCAUUCAGAUUCAAGAUUGCCAGUCCUUGGUGUUUGAUGUGAAGUAUUUGGAUUUCAGCAGGAGAACUUAAAUUUUAAUUUGAUAGUAUUUUUUUUCACUGUGUGAAACUUGUUUUCCAUAAGACUCCCAAAGCUUUGACAAAUGGUUACAAAAAGUAUCCCAGGAGCAAAUUAGCCAGCUGUUUAUAAGCACACUUACCACCCCCUGAGUUUUGAAAAUCACCAGUUCCCAGCCAGUAAGGUUGGAGAUAUGUGUCACAUCAGCAGUGAAGCAGAGAGCUGAACAGAAAAUAAUAAACUUCCCUCAAGGAUGGUGCAAUAUACUUCAUUCUAUUAAUGAGAAGUUGAAGACAGAUAUCAACUUUUCUACUAUCUUGCAGCUAUUAAACAUGUACUUGGGCAAAUUUCUACUAGUCUCAGUUAAUUUCAAAAUUUUGUUUUUUAGUGAAUUUUCCUUUCAGCUAAGGUCUUCUUAGUAAGCGCACUUUUCUAAAGCAGGAUACAUGUUUUGGUAGACAUAGCAAUGGAAUGCAAGGUUGCUGACAAGGAUGCACAUCCUGUGAGAGGGGUAAGCAGGAGGUGACUAAAACUAACCAAGUAUUCCAUGCCAUUCACAUGAUACAUCAUAUAAAAGUGGGAAACCACGAGGAUCUCAGCCUUUUUCCCUAUGGCCAACAUUAGGAGAGGACCUUGCGAGUUGUCCCUGUGAACUGAGGCCUGGUGAUAGACUGAAUCCAGUUCCAGUUUGCUUCAGAGUCCAAUCCAGGACUUCUGAGUGCAGGCUCUGAUGCUGCUGGAGCAGUGCUGAUCUUUGCCAGGACUUUCAAGAUUGGUUUUGUAUAUUUUGUAUUAUUUUCUUCAUUUUAUUAGUAGCACUAGAAAAACAUUUUUAAUUUUUUUUCCAAUUCUGUCUCUCUGUCAUUCUAUUGCCUUCCAAUCACCUGUACUUAUUGGAAAGCGGGGGGGAAGGGGGCAGCUAAAGAGGAGCUAGGAGGAAGAGGGGAUUAACAAAGCAACUGCCACGGUUUAUUGUCACCUUGCAAUCAAACCUUGACAGCCAGAAAAUAUAAAGAAAUGGACAACUGACUACAUUCUUCCCAGCAAUGUAGAAGUACUGAUGAAUGUUAAGUCAAGUUCCAGUGAAUACUGAAGAAAGAGUGUUACAGAAGCUGACGCUGCUAAAAGCAAGCAGAAAAAGUAGAUCCAUUAGGCUUCUUCUAGAAAUUAUGCUUUGUUUUUCUGCAAAGAUCACAUAUUAAAAAUGUACAUCUAUAAAAAUAAAAUAAAUUUUAAAAAAUCCCAUGUAACCGCAGUACUAAACUUACCACAUUUCUGUCCAAAAUUCAUAAUGGAUACAGAUUCAGGCAUAUUCAGUCUGUGUUUGCAAAACCUGUGUACACAACAACAAUGUUCUUAUUCCACUGGAAUUACAGUCUCUCAAGUAUUGAGUCUGAGUAUAUAGGUUUAUCUUUGUCUUUUUGCAAUACAGCAACUGCAAGACACUAUGCAUAUUUAAAACCAUGUUUUGAUCCAUUGUACUUACAAGUUAGCUUUUGAAGUCUUCAGGACUUGUCAGAGUGGAAGUUUAGAGCCAUAAUUAGGUUUUCUGCUGCUGCCCUCUGCCACUUUAACAAAGUGCUUUUAUUUUUUGCUGCAAAGAUGCCUUUCUGCAACCACAUCUGUGUGAUUUCCUUGCAAAACCUUUGGUGGCAAGAUGUGAUCAAUCUCAUGUCCUUUGUCACAAAGAGCUUCCUGGGGAAAGCUGAGGCAGACUGACUUUUUCUCCAAGAUUCAGUUCCCCCUUGCUCACUAAAGGAUGGCCAGAGUGAGCUCAUUCUCCUGUGGACUUCAACUCUAUUCCUAAUUCAUCAACAGAUGGCAGUAGAAAACUCCCUACCUAGCUGUCUUCAGACCAAAGGCCUUACAAAUGACCCUAACAAUAACAAAGAAAAGUCAUUCAAACCAUCGCUGUCUAAGUCUUCUAUGUAUACUGUGCUUUAAGCUGUUCAGUGCAGUGCAAAAGCUUCUUAAAUAUUAAUUUUGUGCUGAGUCUACAUGACCAGAAGCAGCUGCUGCUUUUGGAAUGACUACCUUUCCUGUUACCUUCUUCUGUUUUUAAGUUAUUCUUUUAUUGAUGUAUUUUAUUUUUCUAGUUGUGAAGGAGUAUAUUGAAUAUAGAUUAUAGCAAAUAAUUUACUUUUCCCAUAGAUAGAUUCCUGCAAUGAAGAGUCAGUUCUGUGAUCUCAGUAAACACUUUUUCAAAUGUCAUCAUUACGGUGAUAGAACAAGUAAUUUAGUAAGCAAGUUUUUGAGACUUGCCUCACUAGAUUUUGGCAUUUCAUUAAUUCCUCCCCGUUCAAAUCAAGUAGAUGGUAUAAUAAACUUAGUAAAUUCUUUAUAUAGAUUGAAACAUUAAGAUGCAUGGCAUAUACAGUAGUUUCUUAUUCCAUUUUUUAAAAGAUGCUGAUGUCUUGGCAUUGCCAACCAAGGAAAAAAGCAUUACCAUAAAAAUUUCCAAGAGGCAUUUUCUUGCGUAAUUUAUAAUAGUGGGCGUCUGAGAUAGGAAACCUCAUAUUAUAUAAUUCUUUUUUUAGCCUCAAGGCACAUGAAUUAGGCCUAGAGUUCCUGAUUUCUAUUCCUACCUCUUUCACUAACUUAUCUUAAUAAUUCUUUGCACUUCACAAUUUGCUGGCAUGUUUCAUAUGGUGAGAGAGACUGAUUUUAAAGAAAAGGAAGAAAAGGAGAAGAAAUGGCUCUUUCAGACACUGCUGGAGGGAGUGACUUACUGUUCCAAAUAUAAUGGAAAGGUUCGAAUUUUCUGAGCCAAUGAUUUAAAUUGAGGGAGGUUUGACUCAAAUCUUAAAGAUGUGAGCACUGAUUUCCCUUCAAUUUAGUGUGUGGAGUUUUUUUGAUUAGACUUUAAACAUCAACAAUGUGUUGGCUGUGUGAGUAUGUUACUGAGCCCUGGUGUACUUGGCAAAGGAAAGUGUGUGUCCUAGAAGUGAACAGAACAUUUUGCCUCCACACACUGUUCUACAAAAAUUUUGGGGGAAAGCCAGCACAGUGUCAAAGCCAUUAAGACUGAAGCCUCAUUUUUUGAGAGCUUUUACUUUCUAUUUUCCCACCCCAUUUUUUUUUUUUCCCUCUAAGGAAACAGAGAAACCUACCAUUGUAGAAUAUGUUUUGAUCCCACAAACAGAAAUAUUUAUCAAUUUGUACUCUUCCCUUAUCUGCUUUUGCUCUCUAAGCAUUAUAAACUUUUCCUAUAGCUUUGGAAAAAGAGAUAAAUAAUAUCGUUAAUAUUCAAAUCCUUUCAGAUUAAUUUCGACAGCUUUUUAGUUAUGUAACUGGUUUCAGGUUGUGUUAUUUUCAGAUAAAUAAUUUUGAAAAAAAUGAAAAUAACACUAAUUAUUUGGCUAUAGACAUAAAUAGUGGUGCUCCCCCAAUAACUAUCUUAUUCUUAUGAAAAAUACAACCUCGAUUAUACAAACAAGUUUUUAGUUCAGGUACAUCUGCUUGAUUGAGAAAAUUCGUGACAAGUUCAUGAUGUGUUAACCAUAAAACAGUAAUAAAAGAAAUGAUUCAAAAGAUAUGUACUCAUACAUUUCUAUCCAAAGGACCACAGUUAUUUAACAUACUCCCUGAAUUUUUAAGAAAUACAUUCCACGAAUGAAGUGUGUGUUCAAAUUGUUCAACCUGCGUCCUUUGGCUCCCUGUGCUGUGAGUAGGUAAAGACGUUAGAGAAUGGAAAAGCUCAUCAUGCAUUCAUCAGAGUUUUCUCAUGGUGGUGCUAGAAUUUGGAAGAUACUAGUUUCCUUUGUAAAUAACUGAGAUACAUUUUAAUAACGUUAUACAAUAUUAAAUGUAUGACACUGACAGUGUGAAGCUUUUGUGUUCUGAACUGAACCAUUUUUCAGCAAUCCACUAUCAAAUGCAUCUGCAACCCUGGGAGCAUGUUCCUGUUGAAUACUGAACUCCUACACUUUUUAUUUUAUCUAUUUGUUUUGAGAAACUAUCAGUGUUUGUACACAGCAUACAGCAGGAUAGAACCCAGCAAGCCCUGUCUUCUUAUAUGAACCCUGCUGUACUAGUUCAGGCACAAGAAUGGAUAUUCAAAAUACGUAUUUAUUCAGUGUAAUAGAACAGCUACUAGUAGGGUUAUUAAUGUGCACUAAACACCUCACUAAUUCAGUGUACUUUUUAUGACAUUCAGGUGAUCUACAUUAAUCCCCAUAGGGCUCAGGGUGUCUAGGGAAGGCUAAGGUCCUGUGUAGCUCACAAGUGGUAUUUUUAUAAAAUUAUACUAGAAGUGUGUGUUGCAUGGCUGAAAGUGUGACAUGAGAAACUGUGGGCAGUAGAGGCCUGGCUUUGCUGUGGAAGACUUGGUGUGUACAUGGACAUGUAUGUCUAUGUUUGACUGUGGCGGGGCAGACGCACGCUACCUAUAGGCUUACUUCAGAGUAAAUUAUACUCACCCAAAGUUUCCCUGGGAGAAAACUAGUUGUGGCUGUUCAAAAGAGAGCUCAGAGCCCAAACUGACAUAGGAGCAGUGUGAACAAUGAACUACAGAGUGAAGCGAAAUCAGGUGCUAAGUUGUUUGACAGCCAGCAUAAGGUGACCUACCUCAAAUUUAUCUUGUCAAAUAUUUCUGUGUGACACUGAUGUCCUGAGGAGACAUACUAUGAAACACCAUUCUCAUAUGUGGAGUUAACUCUGCAGAUUCCUGCACACCAUACCUAGUUCUUUUUCUUUCAUGUAUACCUCAUUUUUGAAGACAUUUUGGUGUCAGUAUCUUUAACUUUGCACACAGCUACUCAGCUUUCUAUGUUCAAAAUACUUGGUUUCUUCAUUUUCAAUACAUCUCUGAUUAAAUGAUAAUUUCUAUUAUACAUUAUUAUUUCCAGAAGAAGGUCUUAUUUUCAAAGAUGAUGCUUUCUGUGUCCUGUGAUAUAAUACAUUUCAAAGUUACUCUUGAUUAUUUCUGUCACGUCUGCUCUAUUUUUAACAUGCUUGUUUUUUUUUUUCACUUUUUUUCCCCAAACAUCCUACUUUUGUCUAGUUUUAUCCAGUUCCUAGAAAACUGUCCACCUUUACCUUCCCCUUAUCCAAAUUCCUGCAAGAAAUUUCAUUUUAGUAAAAAUAUCUUCAGUAGGAAGGAAAGGUCGGAAGGAAAAUACAUCAGUAUUUUUCUUGUGUUGUCUAAUCCUUAAUUGUCUUUUAAACAGAAAUAUUUUCCUUGUUCACUUUGUGGAGAUUAACAAACAAACAAACAAGAGCUUUCGAGAACAUGCCAUGACCACGGAACUCCUGCAUGCAUGGCUGAAGUGCAAAGCAACUUCGAUAGGAAGGAUAGAUCUGAGAGAACUGUAGUCAAGAAUGGAACCAUGACACCCUUCAACUGGAACAUGAAAACACAGCCAUCUGGUAUGGAAAUAUGCCAGCCUGUUUAAAGCAGAUUACUUUGUGUGACUACUCUGCCAAUGUAAGAAAGAGCUCUGUAACAUUUAUGGUCAACUUUCUAGUUGACCGUUCUCUAUCUACCUUUAAAGAGUGUGAAUCAAUG
RNA transcript from Columba livia (rock pigeon), 11699 nucleotides. RefSeq lists it as uncharacterized. The record is from RefSeq and is a predicted model, not a curated record. NCBI's taxonomy places the organism in Eukaryota, Metazoa, Chordata, Aves, Columbiformes, Columbidae. The transcript is spliced from 9 exons.